RNAcentral lists this transfer RNA (87 nucleotides) under Atopobium sp. oral taxon 416. RNAcentral describes it as "tRNA-Leu". It matches the Rfam family "tRNA". From Rfam's summary of the family: Transfer RNA (tRNA) molecules are approximately 80 nucleotides in length. Their secondary structure includes four short double-helical elements and three loops (D, anti-codon, and T loops). RNAcentral also lists the same sequence under 1 other name. Lineage: Bacteria; Bacillati; Actinomycetota; Coriobacteriia; Coriobacteriales; Atopobiaceae. The record is from RNAcentral.
GCCCGAGUGGUGGAAUUGGUAGACGCGAUGGACUCAAAAUCCAUUGCUGGCGACAGCGUGUGAGUUCGAGUCUCACCUCGGGCACCA